AUUGAACGCUGGCGGCAGGCUUAACACAUGCAAGUCGAGCGGGGUGAUGGUGCUUGCACUAUCACUUAGCGACGGACGGGUGAGUAAUGCUUAGGAAUCUGCCUAUUAGUGGGGGACAACAUCUCGAAAGGGAUGCUAAUACCGCAUACGUCCUACGGGAGAAAGCAGGGGAUCACUUGUGACCUUGCGCUAAUAGAUGAGCCUAAGUCGGAUUAGCUAGUUGGUGGGGUAAAGGCCUACCAAGGCGACGAUCUGUAGCGGGUCUGAGAGGAUGAUCCGCCACACUGGGACUGAGACACGGCCCAGACUCCUACGGGGGGCAGCAGUGGGGAAUAUUGGACAAUGGGAGGAACCCUGAUCCAGCCAUGCCGCGUGUGUGAAGAAGGCCUUAUGGUUGUAAAGCACUUUAAGCGAGGAGGAGGCUCUUUUGGUUAAUACCCAAGAUGAGUGGACGUUACUCGCAGAAUAAGCACCGGCUAACUCUGUGCCAGCCGCCGCCGUAA
This 503-nucleotide ribosomal RNA is filed under the name uncultured bacterium. Its description in RNAcentral is "partial 16S ribosomal RNA". It matches the Rfam family "Bacterial small subunit ribosomal RNA", at positions 30 to 523 of the family's 1533-position model. The record is from RNAcentral.